GGUUUUUAGAAAUUAUUAAAAAUCUAACCUGCUCAAUGCUUAGUAAAUAGCCGCAGUAUUUUAACUGUGCAAAGGUAGCAUAAUCAUUUGUCUUUUAAUUGGGGACUGGAAUGAAAGGUUUGACUGAGUUUUUUUGUCUUAUAAUAAUAUUUUGAAAUUUAUAAUUUAGUAAAAAAGCUAAAAUUUUUUAUAGGGACGAGAAGACCCUAUCAAGUUUUACAAUCGAAAACUUAUUUUCAAACUAAGUUCCAAAUUGUUUUGCUGGGGCAGCAAAUAAAAAUUUUUUAUUUUUAAAUUAUGAUUAAUAAAUCUUGAAAAAUCAAAAAGUUUUUAAAUAAAAAUAAAUUACUGUAGGGAUAACAGCAUAAUUUUUUUAAAGAGUUCUCAUCAUCAAAAAAGUUUGUGACCUCGAUGUUGGAUUAAAAUUCCUAAUUCAUGCAAUAAUGAAACAAGGAAGUCUGUUCGACUUUUAAAAUUUUCCA
This 482-nucleotide ribosomal RNA is filed under the name Mesomexovis variegatus. Its description in RNAcentral is "partial 16S ribosomal RNA". It matches the Rfam family "Bacterial large subunit ribosomal RNA", at positions 1881 to 2600 of the family's 2925-position model. The record is from RNAcentral. Lineage: Eukaryota; Metazoa; Arthropoda; Arachnida; Scorpiones; Vaejovidae.